This 320-nucleotide ribosomal RNA is filed under the name uncultured eukaryote. RNAcentral describes it as "partial 18S ribosomal RNA". It matches the Rfam family "Eukaryotic small subunit ribosomal RNA", at positions 1470 to 1796 of the family's 1831-position model. The record is from RNAcentral.
CCCUUAGAUGUCCUGGGCCGCACGCGUGCUACACUGAUGCAUACAGCGAGCACUUCCCGGCCCCGAAAGGCGGCUGGUAAUCAGCAAUAUGCAUCGUGAUGGGGAUAGAUCUUUGGAAUUCUUGAUCUUGAACGAGGAAUGCCUAGUAGGCGCAGGUCAUUACCCUGCGUCGAUUAAGUCCCUGCCCUUUGUACACACCGCCCGUCGCACCUACCGAUUGAAUGGUCCGGUGAAAUCUCGGGACGGCGGCUUGGUCGCUUGCGUCCGACUGCUGAAACUUGAUUAAACCAUAUCAUUUAGAGGAAGGUGAAGUCGUAACA